Dermacentor albipictus is the source of this 650-nucleotide long non-coding RNA. RefSeq lists it as uncharacterized. The record is from RefSeq and is a predicted model, not a curated record. Lineage: Eukaryota; Metazoa; Arthropoda; Arachnida; Ixodida; Ixodidae.
AUCAGUUGCAACAUCGCUCGCCGCCUUCGUAAGCGCUUUACCGUCGGAGUUCGGGACUUCCCGUGACAUCGGCGCAGUUCGCGGCAGCUGGCAGUCAUGUGCAGCACCACCUGCAUCAGUGGAGAAGGAAAGCGGGGGUUGAUAGAACCACGCUCUGCGAGGCGUCAUCUGUCACGUGGUUUAUUACGACAGCGUCUCGGCGGAUUCAUUUGAGGUGCCCCAUUGACGACAAAGGCAUCGCAUAGCAGCAGCCUCAUUGUUCAUCUCGGACGCGUUCAGAGGAGCGGAACAUGAAAACUUGGACACUGUCCUUGGUAGCAGGUGUCUUCCUUUUAAUAACGGUGACAGCGUGCCGCGCGGCAGACGGAGAGGAGGAGCGUGAAGGCAGCAUCCUUGGCGCCAUGAGCGACUUCUUCGGCAACACCUUGAAUACGUUUGUCAACGCGGCCGAGCACGUGAUGGGCAUCAUCGGCUUCCAAAGGCCUCCGUACACGUCGGUGGGACAAACGCAGGCACUUGAGUAGCAAAACGGCAGCGUCGACUUUCCCGCGACUUGAUGUUGGACGCUGGACUACCACUUCAAUUCCGCCUUCUUCUUGUACGCUCUACUUGAAAAACGCACAAUUGGUCAAUAAAACGCAGCAUAUGUA